CGGAGGGUGCAAGCGUUAUCCGGAUUCACUGGGUUUAAAGGGUGCGUAGGUGGGUUGGUAAGUCAGUGGUGAAAUCCCCGAGCUUAACUUGGGAACUGCCAUUGAUACUAUCAGUCUUGAAUACCGUGGAGGUCAGCGGAAUAUGUCAUGUAGCGGUGAAAUGCUUAGAUAUGACAUAGAACACCAAUUGCGAAGGCAGCUGACUACACGAAUAUUGACACUGAGGCACGAAAGCGUGGGGAUCAAACAGGAUUAGAUACCCUGGUAGUCCACGCCCUAAACUAUGGAUACUCGACAUACGCGAUACACUGUGUGUGUCUGAGCGAAAGCAUUAAGUAUCCCACCUGGGAAGUACGAUCGCAAGAUUG
RNAcentral lists this ribosomal RNA (368 nucleotides) under uncultured organism. Its description in RNAcentral is "bacterial SSU rRNA". It matches the Rfam family "Bacterial small subunit ribosomal RNA", at positions 526 to 896 of the family's 1533-position model. The record is from RNAcentral.